CAAUUUUGGAGUAGCCAGAAUUGAUUCUGGACAUGUAGAAUGGAUUCUGACUUGUUUGGUUCCUUAAAAGUAGAAUUGAUUCUGCCUCCAGAAUGGAUUCUACUUGAAGCUAGAAAUUGUAGCUUCUCAUUCUAGAAUUGAUUUUUACACUCAAAUUCUUUGUUCAACUCACUUUUGUAUGAAUAUAUCCAAACAUAAAUCAAUUCUAUCA
Molecule: long non-coding RNA, 211 nt
Filed under: Trifolium pratense (red clover)
Lineage: Eukaryota; Viridiplantae; Streptophyta; Magnoliopsida; Fabales; Fabaceae
Description: long non-coding RNA (TPRA_LNC004473)
Source: RNAcentral